Molecule: ribosomal RNA, 253 nt
Filed under: uncultured bacterium
Lineage: Bacteria
Description: partial 16S ribosomal RNA
Rfam family: Bacterial small subunit ribosomal RNA
Source: RNAcentral
UACGUAGGGUGCAAGCGUUGUCCGGAAUUAUUGGGCGUAAAGAGCUCGUAGGCGGUUUGUCGCGUCUGCUGUGAAAACGCGAGGCUCAACCUCGCGCCUGCAGUGGGUACGGGCAGACUAGAGUGCGGUAGGGGAGAUUGGAAUUCCUGGUGUAGCGGUGGAAUGCGCAGAUAUCAGGAGGAACACCGGUGGCGAAGGCGGCUCACUGGCUCAUUACUGACGCUCAGGCGCGAUAGCGUGGGGAUCAAACAGG